ACGGAAGGCAGCAGUGGGGAAUAUUGGGCAAUGGGCGAAAGCCUGACCCAGCAACGCCGCGUGAAGGAAGAAGGUCUUCGGAUUGUAAACUUCUUUUAUCAGGGACGAAGAAAGUGACGGUACCUGAUGAAUAAGCCACGGCUAACUACGUGCCAGCAGCCGCGGUAAUACGUAGGUGGCAAGCGUUAUCCGGAUUUACUGGGUGUAAAGGGCGCGUAGGCGGGGAUGCAAGUCAGAUGUGAAAUCCAUGGGCUCAACCCAUGAACUGCAUUUGAAACUGUAUCUCUUGAGUGUCGGAGAAGUAGACGGAAUUCCUAGUGUAGCGGUGAAAUGCGUAGAUAUUAGGAGGAACACCAGAGGCGAAGGCGGCUUUCUGGACAUUAACUGACACUGAGGCUCGAAAGCGUGGGGAGCAAACAGGAUUAGAUACCCUGGUA
RNAcentral lists this ribosomal RNA (437 nucleotides) under uncultured Oscillospiraceae bacterium. RNAcentral describes it as "bacterial SSU rRNA". It matches the Rfam family "Bacterial small subunit ribosomal RNA", at positions 341 to 792 of the family's 1533-position model. The record is from RNAcentral. Lineage: Bacteria; Bacillati; Bacillota; Clostridia; Eubacteriales; Oscillospiraceae.